This is a long non-coding RNA of Zingiber officinale, 850 nucleotides long. RefSeq lists it as uncharacterized. The record is from RefSeq and is a predicted model, not a curated record. The transcript has 4 exons. NCBI's taxonomy places the organism in Eukaryota, Viridiplantae, Streptophyta, Magnoliopsida, Zingiberales, Zingiberaceae.
CUCUUCUCCUCUUCCCCCAUUUUCUCCCGACGCCGACUCCUUGCCAAAACCGCCGGCGAAGGUUCCAUCUUCUCCCCUGUCUUCAUCUUCUUCACCGCCGGUCACCAUGAGUUCACCGCCAACAGCAGUCCUUCCCUCUGUCGUUGCCUCAUCGCCGUAGAGAUCUCAGUCUACCGCCGGCCUCUCCUUCUCUUCCUCUCCCGAGCGUCGGCCGCCGGCAAGUAUCCCGUGCCCUAGCGACCCGCGGCUCCCACACCCUCUCGAGACAUCGCCGGCCACUGGAAUCCAGCGCCGCUGCUGUGCCCUAAGUCCUCGUACUCCACUACCGCCGCCGAUCGGUCAGCACAGCCCAGAGCCGCCGGCCCCAGGAACCCUAAUGUCAAAUCCUCCCUCUCCUCUUCUGGUCGCAGGCAUUUGGAGAUUGCCAGGAAUCUAGCAUCCGAGCCUUCUUCUUGUGGCGUUGCCCUAGAUCGACGCCCAACGCGAGAGGUAUAUUUCCGUGCCCUAGCUUCUGUCCACUCUCCGACACCACCAGUGAGAUGCUCCAACACCUGCAUCUUCGCCGGGUGUUGUGGUCGCCGGAGAAGGAUCGACGCUAGAACUACCUCCUCAUGAUCUGAUUUAUAAGUGCUAGGUAUUUGGUUUUGGAAGACAACAGCUAUUUUCGAGUGAGUCAACAACAAAGUCGACUGGAUUUGGGAAAAGAGUGGGCAACAGUAGAUCAUCUUUCGAUGGUGAAACCCUUUCAGUCGUGAGCCAUCAUUAGCUACGACAAAUUUGGACUUUGAUCCGAGACGAUGUCUCGACGAGGGAUCUAUUGCGGAUACGAUCCUUUCUAUUGGAGGCGGGU